UUGUUAUUAGAGAGGGGGCAGUUGUAGACCAGCCGUUCAAGAAGUUUGCAGGUAAAUGGGAGCAGGGAGAUGGGUCUCAAGUUGUUCA
Long non-coding RNA from Nanorana parkeri, 88 nucleotides. RefSeq lists it as uncharacterized. The record is from RefSeq and is a predicted model, not a curated record. The transcript has 3 exons. Lineage: Eukaryota; Metazoa; Chordata; Amphibia; Anura; Dicroglossidae.